AUUUUUUUGUUUUCAAUCAAAGACGAGGUC
Molecule: transfer RNA, 30 nt
Filed under: Neuracanthus umbraticus
Lineage: Eukaryota; Viridiplantae; Streptophyta; Magnoliopsida; Lamiales; Acanthaceae
Description: partial tRNA-Ala
Source: RNAcentral